UUGCACGCUGGCGGCAUGCCUUACCCAUGCCAGUCGAACGGCAGCACGGGUGCUUGCACCUGGUGGCGAGUGGCGAACGGGUGAGUAAUACAUCGGAACAUGUCCUGUAGUGGGGGAUAGCCCGGCGAAAGCCGGAUUAAUACCGCAUACGAUCUACGGAUGAAAGCGGGGGACCUUCGGGCCUCGCGCUAUAGGGUUGGCCGAUGGCUGAUUAGCUAGUUGGUGGGGUAAAGGCCUACCAAGGCGACGAUCAGUAGCUGGUCUGAGAGGACGACCAGCCACACUGGGACUGAGACACGGCCCAGACUCCUACGGGAGGCAGCAGUGGGGAAUUUUGGACAAUGGGCGAAAGCCUGAUCCAGCAAUGCCGCGUGUGUGAAGAAGGCCUUCGGGUUGUAAAGCACUUUUGUCCGGAAAGAAAUCCUUGGCCCUAAUACGGUCGGGGGAUGACGGUACCGGAAGAAUAAGCACCGGCUAACUACGUG
Molecule: ribosomal RNA, 485 nt
Filed under: uncultured bacterium
Lineage: Bacteria
Description: partial 16S ribosomal RNA
Rfam family: Bacterial small subunit ribosomal RNA
Source: RNAcentral